UUGAUUUUUCCCCCAUGAUUCAACCACUUCGAUUUUAUCUCGUGCGUGGGUUGUUGGCUUUUUUGGGAUCCUUUCUCGCCUCACCAAUCGCAUCCGUAUCAAAACUUUUCAAAAUCUAAAGCGAUAAAUCAAAACUUUCCCUUGCCCGUUUCCUACACGCAUGUUCCUUCUCCAGCAUAUCUCAAUCGAAUCAAAGAGAAACCACAUAUGUUUUCUCAUGCACAGAAUCAUAUCCCAAUGGCUCGGUAUGUGAUAAAAUCAUGGAGACCUUCCAUUGACGACGAGUACUUGUAGCCGGAGCUUGGAAACACGAGGCAAGAAGGUAGCGCUAAGCCGUUUCAUAUACCAGCACGUGGGCUUCAGAACCCAGAGAUCUUCCUGAUGGGGUCUCCUAGCCGCCAUAGGACAUGUAGUAUACGUAGGGCUGGAUGCCGCCAUAGGACCUCGAGUAUAGGUUGAGGGUGUCCGUGCUCCGCCAGAGCACGCACCAUCGCGAGGUGGGUACAGUGGUACAUGCGGCGUCUCUGGCUGGGAGGAAGGAGAUGACGCAUGCGAUCAGGUGGAAGAGACGCCGGAGAAAUCUCUACUCCUAAUGGACGAGUUCGUACGUCGUUCGUUUGUUGGUUCGUUCUCCUCCACCCCUCUCGAUAGGUCUCCCACCUCCACCAAUUUUUUCCAGUCCCACCGAUUUUCUCUCGGCCCACCGAACGAAGGAUCUAACCACCAUCGAUUUUUCUCCCACGAUUCAACCACUCUGAUUUUAUCUCGUGCGUGGGCUGUUGGCUUUUUUGGGAUCCUUUCUCGCCUCACCAAUCGCAUCCGUAUCAAAACUUUCCAAAAUCUAAAGCGAGAAAUCAAAACUUUCCCUUGCCCAUUUCCUACACGCAUGUUCCUUCUCCAGCACAUCUCAAUCGAAUCAAAGAGAAACCACAUAUAUUUUCUCAUGGACAGAAUCAUAUCCAAAAGGCUCGGUAUGUGAUAAAAUCAUGGAGACCUUCCAUUGACGACGAGCACUUGUAGCCGGAGCUUGGAAACACUAGGCAAGAAGGCAGCGCUAAGCCGUUUCAUAUACCAGCACGCGGGCUUCAGAACCCAGAGAUCUUCCUGAUGGGGUCUCCUAGCCGCCGUAGGACAUGUAGUAUACGUACGGCUGGAUGCCACCGUAGGACCUCGAGUACAGGUUGAGGGUGUUUGUGCUCCGCCAGAGCACGCGCCAUCACGAGGUGGGUACAGCGGUACAUGCGGCGUCUCUGGCUGGGAGGAAGGAGAUGACGCAUGUGAUCAGGUGGAAGAGACGCCAGAGAAACGAUUGGAAGCAGCCAUAUCGAUUGUCAGCGAGAAGACAGAGAAGGAGUCACAAGCGGUGGUAGAGUACAAACUCCAGUACGUGGUGGCGAAGGUCACGUCCGUAGAGGAGUACAAGCUCCAAGUCAAGAUCAUAUGGGAAGCCGUGGGAACCAGGCAAGCCAAAUUUCACCGGUGCCGGUGAGGGAGAAGGUUGGUGGGCAUCAUCUAAGUGUGUCCAGUGAUCGUGAGCAUGUCAUAGACAAAAGACUGGAUAAAGUAUGGGCAAAGAGGAAGGAGGAUGUGCUGCUGAGGUACGUACACACCGGUCAGAGCCGGACGCCAAUUACAGCGAGUAUACUUUUGUUGCAUGAUUGCACCCAUACUAUCACUUUUAUGACUUACAUGAAUUUUGGAAAUUUACCCGUUCUCCUCUUUCUUAUUUACAUUGUUAUUUGCCAUACAAAGAGGUCCAUCAGCACUUCUUGAAGUUUUUUAUUGUGAGAAAAAGAUUACGAUUUUUUUCUAAAAAGAAUUUAGUGCUACUUAGUUUGUUCAUCAUAAUGCUUCUGGACCAAAGUACCGGUUGUAGGUCACAUGCAACUUUGAGGGUGUACCGAGAGGAUAGCUUUUGGCAAGAUGCAAUUACAUAGAUUUUUUCGCGAGAAGGUGUCGUCUUUCUCAUCAUGUUAUUUUUCUUCUAAUAUUGGCAAGUAGCAUAAAUCAGGUUCUGCACUCUUCCAACAAAUAUAAGCUGCUUUUUUUGCAAGGUAUAUAAGCUGCUUUCUUUACUUCUCAAUUCAUUUUAAUUUUAGACCACACUAAUAUACUCUCUAUUUAUUGUGUAGUAUUGAUAGAUGAAGUGAGAGCUGCAUGUCCCGACCUGGAGCAUAUGCUAAUAUCCUCCUUAACUGUGGCUGAUCUAGAGUUUAUACCAUAUCACGAGAGUAGCUCCUUCCUCUAAUUUUGGGACUGUGGCAGCCUCAUUGCACUGCAUCUCCUUAAACUAUAAGCACACUUGGUCUUUUGUAACACCCUCGAUGUGACUAUAGCUCCCACGUGUCGAGGCUCGACUUAGAGACAUAAUCGCAUUGAAGGCAUAUGUCGCAAGAGAGGUAAUCUUCGCAAACAACCUAUGUAAUACAUAAGGGAAACGAUACAUAGUUGGCUUACAA
This is a long non-coding RNA of Triticum aestivum (bread wheat), 2459 nucleotides long. RefSeq lists it as uncharacterized. The transcript has 2 exons. The record is from RefSeq and is a predicted model, not a curated record. NCBI's taxonomy places the organism in Eukaryota, Viridiplantae, Streptophyta, Magnoliopsida, Poales, Poaceae.